UAUUGCGCAUGGNCGGAAGUCUGNGCAGCGACGCCGCGUGGAGGAUGAAGGCCCUUUGGGUUGUAAACUCCUGUAGAGAGGGAAGAAUAGUCCCCUUCGGGGAUUUGACUGUACCUCUAAAGUAAGGAUCGGCCAACUACGUGCCAGCAGCCGCGGUAAUACGUAGGAUCCGAGCGUUGUCCGAAAUCACCUGGGUGUAAAGGGAGCGCAGGCUGGCUUUCAAGUCGAGGGUGAAAUCUUACAGCUCAACUGUAAAACUGCCUUCGAUACUGUUAGCCUUGAGUGUGGGAGAGGGCGAUGGAAUUCAUGGUGUAGCNGGUGAAAUGCGUAGAUAUCAUGAAGAACACCAGUUGCGAAGGCGGUCGCCUGGCCCAUUACUGACGCUCAUGCUCGAAAGUGUGGGGAGCAAACAGGAUUAGAUACCCUGGUAGUCCACACCCUAAACUAUGAAUACUCGGUGUCGGGCCGAAAGGUUCGGUGCCAAAGCUAACGCAUUAAGUAUUCCACCUGGGGAGUACGAUCGCAAGGUUGAAACUCAAAAAAAUUGACGGA
RNAcentral lists this ribosomal RNA (552 nucleotides) under uncultured bacterium. RNAcentral describes it as "bacterial SSU rRNA". It matches the Rfam family "Bacterial small subunit ribosomal RNA", at positions 362 to 917 of the family's 1533-position model. The record is from RNAcentral.